CACACAUAACUGUAGACACGGCCGGCGCGGGUGCUGCUCUUGGGGGCAUGCAACUGCUUGCUGGACCACCAGGGACGGCGAACCCGAGAAGUGCUGGAGGAACGUGUGGAGUGUCCAGCGGUGUAACACUGUACCAGCAAGUGCUUCCAACUUCUGGUGACAAGAUGGUCCACCAACCCGUCCUCACUCAAAUGGUCCAGCUCUCUGCGGGCGGGCGGGCGGACGGACGGACGGACGGGCGAGCGGGCGGGCGGGCGGACGGGCGGGCGAGUGGAAUGUUAAUAUUACCCUAGUAACCAGCUGCCUCGCCUUCCACCACCACCACACGCCUUGUACAUAUGUGCUUAUAUGAAAACUUUUCUUAAUGAAGAGAGUUUAGUCUUGUUGCGACAUAAUCAAACUUUAUUAGUGCAUAACUUUACACCCCCUUCGGCGAGCAGGUUCACUCACACGCGGCCGCUGCGUGGGUGAAUGUAUUACCAAAAGUUGUAUUUUCCGUGUCGUCUUCAGACCAUUGUCGGUGGACACCCUAGACCGACCUGGUCACUUACUGGUCUCGUCUGACCAGACGAUAUUUUCUGCAUUGGUUGCUGGACUAGUUCAGCAGGACCAUAAGUGUAGUAAUGGUUGCUGGACUAGUUCAGCAGGGCCAUAAGUGUAGUAAUGGUUGCUGGACUAGUUCAGCAGGACCAUAAGUGUAGUAAUGGUUGCUGGACUAGUUCAGCAGGACCACAAGUGUAGUAAUGGUUGCUGGACUAGUUCAGCAGGACCAUAAGUGUAGUAAUGGUUGCUGGACUAGUUCAGCAGGACCAUAAGUGUAGUAAUGGUUGCUGGACUAGUUCAGCAGGACCACAAGUGUAGUAAUGGUUGCUGGACUAGUUCAGCAGGACCACAAGUGUAGUAAUGGUUGCUGGACUAGUUCAGCAGGACCAUAAGUGUAGUAAUGGUUGCUGGACUAGUUCAGCAGGACCACAAGUGUAGUAAUGGUUGCUGGACUAGUUCAGCAGGACCAUAAGUGUAGUAAUGGUUGCUGGACUAGUUCAGCAGGACCACAAGUGUAGUAAUGGUUGCUGGACUAGUUCAGCAGGGCCAUAAGUGUAGUAAUGGUUGCUGGACUAGUUCAGCAGGACCAUAAGUGUAGUAAUGGUUGCUGGACUAGUUCAGCAGGGCCAUAAGUGUAGUAAUGGUUGCUGGACUAGUUCAGCAGGACCACAAGUGUAGUAAUGGUUGCUGGACUAGUUCAGCAGGACCAUAAGUGUAGUAAUGUGUAAAGAUGUACGGUCUGGAAACAACAAUUGAGCAGAGGAGUUGCAGAAUAUGUAGUGAGAGUGACGGACACCGCCUUGAUCACUACCUGAGAGAAUGUGAACAUCUGAGACAUUAGAAAUAUGUGUAGAAUAAUAAACCCCACAUUGUUUGAGUAAGG
This is a long non-coding RNA of Procambarus clarkii (red swamp crayfish), 1426 nucleotides long. RefSeq lists it as uncharacterized. Lineage: Eukaryota; Metazoa; Arthropoda; Malacostraca; Decapoda; Cambaridae. The record is from RefSeq and is a predicted model, not a curated record.